This 484-nucleotide ribosomal RNA is filed under the name uncultured bacterium. Its description in RNAcentral is "partial 16S ribosomal RNA". It matches the Rfam family "Bacterial small subunit ribosomal RNA", at positions 30 to 507 of the family's 1533-position model. The record is from RNAcentral.
AUUGAACGCUGGCGGCAGGCCUAACACAUGCAAGUCGAGCGGACGAAGGGAGCUUGCUCCUGGAUUCAGCGGCGGACGGGUGAGUAAUGCCUAGGAAUCUGCCUGGCAGUGGGGGAUAACGUCCGGAAACGGGCGCUAAUACCGCAUACGUCCUGAGGGAGAAAGUGGGGGAUCUUCGGACCUCACGCUAUCAGAUGAGCCUAGGUCGGAUUAGCUAGUUGGUGGGGUAAAGGCCUACCAAGGCGACGAUCCGUAACUGGUCUGAGAGGAUGAUCAGUCACACUGGAACUGAGACACGGUCCAGACUCCUACGGGAGGCAGCAGUGGGGAAUAUUGGACAAUGGGCGAAAGCCUGAUCCAGCCAUGCCGCGUGUGUGAAGAAGGUCUUCGGAUUGUAAAGCACUUUAAGUUGGGAGGAAGGGCAGUAAGUUAAUACCUUGCUGUUUUGACGUUACCAACAGAAUAAGCACCGGCUAACUUCGUG